CAAUAGCGUAUAUUUAAGUUGUUGCAGUUAAAAAGCUCGUAGUUGGAUUUCGGAUGGGACUUGCCGGUCCGUCGUUUCGAUGUGCACUGGCCAGUCCUAUCUUGUUGUCGGGGACUAGCUCCUGGGCUUCACUGUCCGGGACUAGGAGCCGACGAAGUUACUUUGAGUAAAUUAGAGUGUUCAAAGCAAGCCUACGCUCUGAAUAUAUUAGCAUGGAAUAACAUGAUAGGACUCUGGCUUAUCUUGUUGGUCUGUGAGACCAGAGUAAUGAUUAAGAGGGACAGUCGGGGACAUUCGUAUUUCAUUGUCAGAGGUGAAAUUCUUGGAUUUAUGAAAGACGAACUUCUGCGAAAGCAUUUGUCAAGGAUGUUUUCAUUAA
This 379-nucleotide ribosomal RNA is filed under the name uncultured eukaryote. RNAcentral describes it as "partial 18S ribosomal RNA". It matches the Rfam family "Eukaryotic small subunit ribosomal RNA", at positions 592 to 976 of the family's 1831-position model. The record is from RNAcentral.